RNAcentral lists this ribosomal RNA (484 nucleotides) under uncultured bacterium. RNAcentral's name for it is "partial 16S ribosomal RNA". It matches the Rfam family "Bacterial small subunit ribosomal RNA", at positions 29 to 507 of the family's 1533-position model. The record is from RNAcentral.
AUUGAACGCUGGCGGCAUGCUUUACACAUGCGAGUCGAACGGCAGCGCGGGCUUCGGCCUGGCGGCGAGUGGCGAACGGGUGAGUAAUACAUCGGAACGUGCCCAGUAGUGGGGGAUAGCUCGGCGAAAGCCGGAUUAAUACCGCAUACGACCUGAGGGUGAAAGCGGGGGAUCUUCGGACCUCGCGCUAUUGGAGCGGCCGAUGGCAGAUUAGCUAGUUGGUGGGGUAAAGGCCUACCAAGGCGACGAUCUGUAGCUGGUCUGAGAGGACGACCAGCCACACUGGGACUGAGACACGGCCCAGACUCCUACGGGAGGCAGCAGUGGGGAGUUUUGGACAAUGGGCGAAAGCCUGAUCCAGCAAUGCCGCGUGUGUGAUGAAGGCCUUCGGGUUGUAAAGCACUUUUGGCGGGAACGAAAAGGACUGUGCCAAUACCACGGUUCGAUGACGGUACCCGAAGAAUAAGCACCGGCUAACUACGUG